AUGUAUUCCCAGUUCAUGCUCCGUGUCCCCUGUGUGAGAAAUGUAUUCCCAGUUCAUGCUCCGUGUCCCGUGUGAGAAAUGUAUUCCCAGUUCAUGCUGCGUGUCCCCCGUGUGUGAGAAAUGUAUUCCCAGUUCAUGCUGCGUGUCCCCCGUGUGUGAGAAAUGUAUUCCCAGUUCAUGCUGCGUGUCCCCCGUGUGUGAGAAAUGUAUUCCCAGUUCAUGCUGCGUGUCCCCCGUGUGUGAGAAAUGUAUUCCCAGUUCAUGCUGCGUGUCCCCCGUGUGUGAGAAAUGUAUUCCCAGUUCAUGCUGCGUGUCCCCCGUGUGUGAGAAAUGUAUUCCCAGUUCAUGCUCCGUGUCCCCCGUGUGUGAGAAAUGUAUUCCCAGUUCAUGCUGCGUGUCCCCCGUGUGUGAGAAAUGUAUUCCCAGUUCAUGCUGCGUGUCCCCCGUGUGUGAGAAAUGUAUUCCCAGUUCAUGCUCUGUGUCCCACAUGGACACGGCUCUGCACUUUGGAAUCACACACACGUCCAGGCUGGAGAGGACUCAGACUUGGCAACAUGACCGCUGUCCCAUGAGGUAGCAGACAGAGCGUGUGUCCACGGGCCACCCAGUGCUCCCACCGAGAAGUCAUAUCCCACAGGCUCACAGAUUAGAGUCUCGAGGCCCCGUCCAAUGACGGGAAUUCACGGACACCGUAUUUCCAGUUGCCCAGAUGAGAGGAACACCUGUGUGGGUGAGAACCACAGACCCAGCACCGCUACUCCUGCACCUCCCAAAAGACUUAGGGGACUUUGGAAGGGCCCAAGGUGAUGGGAACGAAAACAGCCUGGAUCUUCUGAUCUGGGAGUCAUCUGGAGGAGGAGGAUGAGCUCACAGGAUCACGCAGCCCUCUGUGACAGCGCAAGUCCCACCGCACCGGGAAAUAAGGAC
Molecule: long non-coding RNA, 927 nt
Organism: Erinaceus europaeus (western European hedgehog)
Lineage: Eukaryota; Metazoa; Chordata; Mammalia; Eulipotyphla; Erinaceidae
Exons: 3
Source: RefSeq, a predicted model, not a curated record